AUAAAAAAAGGAUCUGGUUGGUAGAGUAAAGUGUUCGCAUUUUAAGAAGUACAGUUCUUUCAAAAGACACUGUUUCAGAUGAGUUUGGCUUGUCGCUGCUAGGACACUUGCAUGUUUAUUGUGCAUUUCACCUACGCUGUGCUGGCAUGCAGGUAGAUCAUACUUCAAAAGAGCUUCAAACAGACUGAUGCGGAGAAAUAUCACAUGGAGUAAUAAAUGUUGUUGCACAGCAGCAAUAAUACCAACAAGAGUGAUUAAUUCAUUAAAUGCAGCGUACGUGCUGCAGGGAAACAGGAGCAUCUGCAUGUGUGGCACAGCGAGGGAUGUAGUUGGUACUUGCCCUCUGCUCCUGGUGUGGAUGCUGCUGGUGCCUCACUGACCUGCCCCAGCUUUUUGGGGGCACCAGGCCUGCUUCAGCCAAAGUCAAUCAGCACAUGCACUGUGGAGAAACCUGUUACAAAUACAGCACCCAGCCCUGCAGAGCUCCUUGCUCAGGAAUAAUGAGCAAUCACAGAAAGGCAGGGCUGCAAUCUACCUUGACAGUGCAAUUCUUUCCUGUAUUCAGCUUUCAGGUGGCCAGACAAAAUGUGGCGGGACAGCAGGGAAACAUCAGAGGAGAUGCUGCAUACAUGGUGCAGAGGGGAACAUGCAGGACCUCGAAGACAAGGGAAAGAUCUUCAAUUAAAGUGUAAAAGGAUAAAUGAUGGGUGGAGGGGGCUGGUGACUGCAGUGGCGGGAGGAAGUCUUCUGGCAGACCAGAGAGGACUGAGCCUGGGACAGGCAUGAUGAUUUGGUAAAGGGAAGGGGGGGGAAAAACUGUGGUGAUCGUUGAAGUGUUUUGGAGGGAAACAGCAGAGUUACAGUGCCUCGUGUAACAUCCUCUAGAGCAGCCUUGCUGUGUUUCAAAUAAUAUUCACAUUUCUGCCUGGCUUUCAGAAAGGUUUGUGUACCUGUGCUGCUUCUGGCUGGGUGAUAUUCCUGACCCACAGCUGGCCCUUCAGGCUUGUCUCAACAAAGAAGAUUUAUCAAAUGUGAGACAGUGUCUGAUUUCUCCAAGGCAGCAAAAGGAAGGGAACAAAGAUGAGUUUAGAAAACAACAAAUGUGGCUUUGGAAGGUUGUUAUCCCCACAGGCGGGUGCGAAGCACAGGGGUGGCUUUGGGAACUGCAGCACGAAGGACGAUAAUGAUGAUGGAAACCAAUGGCAGAUGCCUGCUUUGGGGGACAGGGAGGAACCAGGGGCAUCCAGGGGAACAGGCCGCUUGGGAGGAGCAAGGGCAGACAGCACAGCUGGGUUGGAAGGCAGUGCAGAUAAAUAACUGCUGGUGUGUUCAUGAAUGCGGGUCCUGGCUCCUGGCUGUGCACUGGCUCCUCAGCUACCAGCCAGGCUAAAAAUGCAUGGAAAAUAUCACUGUGGGAUGAGCCUCCCAGCUUGCCCUCUCCUGCUUGGGUG
This 1451-nucleotide long non-coding RNA is filed under the name Anser brachyrhynchus (Pink-footed goose). RNAcentral describes it as "lncRNA (ENSABRG00000008840.1)". The record is from RNAcentral. Lineage: Eukaryota; Metazoa; Chordata; Aves; Anseriformes; Anatidae.